RNAcentral lists this transfer RNA (76 nucleotides) under bacterium. RNAcentral describes it as "tRNA-Lys". It matches the Rfam family "tRNA". Rfam says of the family: Transfer RNA (tRNA) molecules are approximately 80 nucleotides in length. Their secondary structure includes four short double-helical elements and three loops (D, anti-codon, and T loops). The record is from RNAcentral. RNAcentral also lists the same sequence under 2 other names.
GCCUCGUUAGCUCAGUUGGUAGAGCAGCUGACUCUUAAUCAGCGGGUCCUAGGUUCGAGUCCUAGACGAGGUACCA